Hypanus sabinus (Atlantic stingray) is the source of this 472-nucleotide long non-coding RNA. RefSeq lists it as uncharacterized. The record is from RefSeq and is a predicted model, not a curated record. NCBI's taxonomy places the organism in Eukaryota, Metazoa, Chordata, Chondrichthyes, Myliobatiformes, Dasyatidae. The transcript is spliced from 3 exons.
UAUCCUUGGAGCUAAAGGAAAAUUUAUUGCAGAGCUCAUUCAAAUGAGGGAGCAUAACUGGCAGCCUGCUUACUCACAGUUGGCAAGUUGUGCACGUAGACCAUGUGACAUUUCCCUCCUGCCCAGUGAGUAAACAACCUGUGAAGUCAAGUCGCACUAGCCAGCCACCUCAGCAACCAGCUGUGUUCAGCCAAUUUUCACCAUUAUCCACUAAUCCUCUCACCUGAUAAUCCUUUCAUCUGCUCUCUCAGUGACUGAUCUGGUGUUCGUACUGUUAAUUUUCAGGUUCUGCAAUGAGCAGGCGACCGGCUCCGAAGCUGCAGCCACACUGUGAAGAUGGACAUGUACCCCAAGGUGUUAAGGAUGUGAGCCCAUGAUUGGCUCCAUUGCUUCUCUCUGAUCGUGGCGUCAAGCCAGGCUGAAGUCAACAAGGACGAGCACGGAGGACGGGUGGGUGUUUGGCAUCGCCUGC